AUUGAACGCUGGCGGCAUGCUUUACACAUGCAAGUCGAACGGCAGCGGGGUAGUGCUUGCACUACUGCCGGCGAGUGGCGAACGGGUGAGUAAUAUAUCGGAACGUACCGAGUAAUGGGGGAUAACCAAUCGAAAGAUUGGCUAAUACCGCAUACGUCCUGAGGGAGAAAGCGGGGGAUCGCAAGACCUCGCGUUAUUCGAGCGGCCGAUAACUGAUUAGCUAGUUGGUGGGGUAAAGGCCCACCAAGGCGACGAUCAGUAGCGGGUCUGAGAGGACGAUCCGCCACACUGGGACUGAGACACGGCCCAGACUCCUACGGGAGGCAGCAGUGGGGAAUUUUGGACAAUGGGGGCAACCCUGAUCCAGCCAUGCCGCGUGUAUGAAGAAGGCCUUCGGGUUGUAAAGUACUUUUGUUAGGGAAGAAAAGGGAAGUGCUAAUACCACUUUUUGCUGACGGUACCUAAAGAAUAAGCACCGGCUAACUACGUG
Molecule: ribosomal RNA, 490 nt
Filed under: uncultured bacterium
Lineage: Bacteria
Description: partial 16S ribosomal RNA
Rfam family: Bacterial small subunit ribosomal RNA
Source: RNAcentral